UUUAAUGUGGGAGCUGGCUUGCCUGCGAUAGCGGUGUAUCAGCCAACGCCGCUAUCGCAGGCAAGCCAGCUCCCACAGUGAU
Molecule: unclassified non-coding RNA, 82 nt
Filed under: Pseudomonas yamanorum
Lineage: Bacteria; Pseudomonadati; Pseudomonadota; Gammaproteobacteria; Pseudomonadales; Pseudomonadaceae
Source: RNAcentral